Molecule: unclassified non-coding RNA, 241 nt
Filed under: plant metagenome
Description: partial contains small subunit ribosomal RNA, internal transcribed spacer 1, and 5.8S ribosomal RNA
Source: RNAcentral
UUUCCGUAGGUGAACCUGCGGAAGGAUCGUUAAAGAGUAAGGGUCUUCGGGCCCGAUCUCCAACCCUUUGUUUAACUACCAUGUUGCUUUGGCGGGCCCGUCUCACGACCGCCGGAAGUUUGGCUUCGACCAAACUUCUGGCCCGUGCCCGUCAGUGGCCCCUUCAAAUUCUUGAUCAAGUAUGAUGUCUUAGUUAAAAACUUAAUAGUUAAAACUUUCAACAACGGAUCUCUUGGUUCUG